RNAcentral lists this ribosomal RNA (216 nucleotides) under uncultured bacterium. RNAcentral's name for it is "partial 16S ribosomal RNA". It matches the Rfam family "Bacterial small subunit ribosomal RNA", at positions 524 to 736 of the family's 1533-position model. The record is from RNAcentral.
UACGUAGGGUGCGAGCGUUGUCCGGAUUUAUUGGGGCGUAAAGGGCUCGUAGGCGGCCCAACUAAGUCAGACGUGAAAUCCCCUCGGCUUAACCGGGGAACUGCGUCUGAUACUGGAUGGCUUGAGUUCGGGAGAGGGAUGCCGGAAUUCCAGGUGAGCGGUGAAAUGCGUAGAGAUGUGGAGGAACACCAGUGGCCGAAGGCGACUCUUGGCCUG